RNAcentral lists this transfer RNA (86 nucleotides) under Verrucomicrobiota bacterium. Its description in RNAcentral is "Verrucomicrobia bacterium (activated sludge metagenome) tRNA-Tyr". It matches the Rfam family "tRNA". Rfam says of the family: Transfer RNA (tRNA) molecules are approximately 80 nucleotides in length. Lineage: Bacteria; Pseudomonadati; Verrucomicrobiota. The record is from RNAcentral.
GGUAGAGUAUCCAAGUGGCCAAAGGAUGGGGACUGUAAAUCCCUCCGCUCACGCGUUCAUAGGUUCGACUCCUAUCUCUACCACCA